UCGGGUGAGGUUUCUGAUGCU
RNAcentral lists this microRNA (21 nucleotides) under Drosophila melanogaster (fruit fly). RNAcentral describes it as "dme-miR-4951-5p". The record is from miRBase by way of RNAcentral. Lineage: Eukaryota; Metazoa; Arthropoda; Insecta; Diptera; Drosophilidae.